This 253-nucleotide unclassified non-coding RNA is filed under the name uncultured Halomonadaceae bacterium. RNAcentral's name for it is "contains 16S-23S intergenic spacer region". It matches the Rfam family "Bacterial small subunit ribosomal RNA", at positions 524 to 776 of the family's 1533-position model. Lineage: Bacteria; Pseudomonadati; Pseudomonadota; Gammaproteobacteria; Oceanospirillales; Halomonadaceae. The record is from RNAcentral.
UACGGAGGGUGCAAGCGUUAAUCGGAAUUACUGGGCGUAAAGCGCGAGUAGGUGGCUUGAUAAGCCGGUUGUGAAAGCCCCGGGCUCAACCUGGGAACGGCAUCCGGGACUGUCAGGCCAGAGUGCAGGAGAGGAAGGUAGAAUUUCCGGUGUAGCGGUGAAAUGCGUAGAGAUCGGGAGGAAUACCAGUGGCGAAGGCGGCCUUCUGCACUGACACUGACACUGAGGUGCGAAAGCGUGGGUAGCAAACAGG